UAAUACGAGGGGUGCAAACGUUAUUCGGAUUUACUGGGUGUAAAGGGUGUGUAGACGGUCUGUUAAGUUCGUUGUUAAAUUUUUCGGCCUAACUGAAAACUUGCGAUGAAAACUGGCGGACUUGAGGGUGAAAGAGAGAAGUGGAAUUCUCGGAGUAGCGGUAAAAUGCGUAGAUCUCGAGAGGAACACCGAUGGCGAAAGCAGCUUCUUGGUUCACAUCUGACGUUGAAACACGAAAGCGUGGGGAGCAAACAGGAUUAGAUACCCUGGUAGUCCACGCUGUAAACGAUGAUCACUGGAUGUCAGCUUUGCUUUGCAAAGUUGGUAUCGAAGCUAACGCGUUAAGUGAUCCACCUGGGAACUACGAUCGCAAGAUUA
This 378-nucleotide ribosomal RNA is filed under the name uncultured bacterium. RNAcentral describes it as "bacterial SSU rRNA". It matches the Rfam family "Bacterial small subunit ribosomal RNA", at positions 521 to 896 of the family's 1533-position model. The record is from RNAcentral.